This 1389-nucleotide ribosomal RNA is filed under the name metagenome. RNAcentral's name for it is "bacterial LSU rRNA". It matches the Rfam family "Bacterial large subunit ribosomal RNA", at positions 1515 to 2925 of the family's 2925-position model. The record is from RNAcentral.
CGCGAGGUACCAGCCGCAUCGGAAAAACCGUGCGGCAAUGGGAAGACGUGAUGCGGAGUGAAGUUUAGUAAUGAAGUCCGUGAGCUGUGCGUCAAGAAAAGCCGCUAUUGUUCAUACCAUACCCGUACCGUAAACCGACACAGGUGGAUGAGGAGAGGAUCCUAAGGCCGGCGGAAGAAGCAUUGUCAAGGAACUCGGCAAAAUGACCCCGUAACUUCGGGAGAAGGGGUGCCUGCAAGAGCAGGCCGCAGAGAAUAGGCUCAAGCAACUGUUUAGCAAAAACACAGGUCUAUGCGAAACCGAAAGGUGAGGUAUAUGGGCUGACGCCUGCCCGGUGCUGGAAGGUUAAGAGGAGAGGUUAGCGCAAGCGAAGCUUUGAAUUUAAGCCCCAGUAAACGGCGGCCGUAACGAUAACGGUCCUAAGGUAGCGAAAUUCCUUGUCGGGUAAGUUCCGACCCGCACGAAAGGCGUAAUGAUUUGAGCGCUGUCUCGACAAUGCAUCCGGUGAAAUUGAAGUACCAGUGAAGAUGCUGGUUACCUGCGCCAGGACGGAAAGACCCCAUGGAGCUUUACUCCAGUUUGGUACUGGGAUCCGGUACUGCAUGUACAGGAUAGGUGGGAGGCUGAGAAUCGGUAACGCCAGUUGUCGAGGAGCCGCUGUUGGGAUACCACCCUUGCAGUAUUGGGUUUCUAACCAGCCGCCGUGACCCGGCGGUGGGACAAUGCCAGACGGGGAGUUUGACUGGGGCGGUCGCCUCCGAAAGGGUAUCGGAGGCGCCCAAAGGUUCCCUCAGGACGGACGGAAACCAUCCAAAGAGUGCAAAGGCAGAAGGGAGCUUGACUGCGACACCGACGGGUGGAGCAGGUACGAAAGUAGGGCUUAGUGAUCCGGUGGUAUUAAGUGGGAAUGCCAUCGCUCAACGGAUAAAAGCUACCCUGGGAUAACAGGCUUAUCACUCCCAAGAGUUCACAUCGACGGAGUGGUUUGGCACCUCGAUGUCGGCUCAUCGCAUCCUGGGGCUGUAGUAGGUCCCAAGGGUUGGGCUGUUCGCCCAUUAAAGCGGUACGCGAGCUGGGUUCAGAACGUCGUGAGACAGUUCGGUCCCUAUCCGGCGUGGGCGUAGGAUAUCUGAGAGGAGCUGUCCUUAGUACGAGAGGACCGGGAUGGACGGGCCGCUGGUGCACCGGUUAGACUGCCAAGUCUAUAGCCGGGUAGCCAAGCCCGGAAGGGAUAAACGCUGAAGGCAUCUAAGCGUGAAGCCCCCCUCAAGAUGAGAUAUCCCAUCCGAAAGGAGUAAACCCCCUUGAAGACGACGAGGUCGAUAGGGCAGAGGUGGAAGUGUGGUAACACAUGGAGCUGACUGCUACUAAUAGGGUGAGGGCUUGACC